RNAcentral lists this ribosomal RNA (688 nucleotides) under Acinetobacter baumannii Naval-17. RNAcentral describes it as "bacterial SSU rRNA". It matches the Rfam family "Bacterial small subunit ribosomal RNA", at positions 28 to 710 of the family's 1533-position model. Lineage: Bacteria; Pseudomonadati; Pseudomonadota; Gammaproteobacteria; Moraxellales; Moraxellaceae. The record is from RNAcentral.
AUUGAACGCUGGCGGCAGGCUUAACACAUGCAAGUCGAGCGGGGGAAGGUAGCUUGCUACUGGACCUAGCGGCGGACGGGUGAGUAAUGCUUAGGAAUCUGCCUAUUAGUGGGGGACAACAUCUCGAAAGGGAUGCUAAUACCGCAUACGUCCUACGGGAGAAAGCAGGGGAUCUUCGGACCUUGCGCUAAUAGAUGAGCCUAAGUCGGAUUAGCUAGUUGGUGGGGUAAAGGCCUACCAAGGCGACGAUCUGUAGCGGGUCUGAGAGGAUGAUCCGCCACACUGGGACUGAGACACGGCCCAGACUCCUACGGGAGGCAGCAGUGGGGAAUAUUGGACAAUGGGGGGAACCCUGAUCCAGCCAUGCCGCGUGUGUGAAGAAGGCCUUAUGGUUGUAAAGCACUUUAAGCGAGGAGGAGGCUACUUUAGUUAAUACCUAGAGAUAGUGGACGUUACUCGCAGAAUAAGCACCGGCUAACUCUGUGCCAGCAGCCGCGGUAAUACAGAGGGUGCGAGCGUUAAUCGGAUUUACUGGGCGUAAAGCGUGCGUAGGCGGCUUAUUAAGUCGGAUGUGAAAUCCCCGAGCUUAACUUGGGAAUUGCAUUCGAUACUGGUGAGCUAGAGUAUGGGAGAGGAUGGUAGAAUUCCAGGUGUAGCGGUGAAAUGCGUAGAGAUCUGGAGGAAUACC